Molecule: ribosomal RNA, 568 nt
Filed under: uncultured bacterium
Lineage: Bacteria
Description: partial 16S ribosomal RNA
Rfam family: Bacterial small subunit ribosomal RNA
Source: RNAcentral
UGGGGAAUAUUGGACAAUGGGCGAAAGCCUGAUCCAGCAAUGCCGCGUGAGUGAUGAAGGCCUUAGGGUUGUAAAGCUCUUUUACCCGGGAUGAUAAUGACAGUACCGGGAGAAUAAGCUCCGGCUAACUUCGUGCCAGCAGCCGCGGUAAUACGAGGGGAGCUAGCGUUGUUCGGAAUUACUGGGCGUAAAGCGCGCGUAGGCGGUUUUUUAAGUCAGAGGUGAAAGCCCCGGGGGCUCAACCCCCGGAAUAGCCUUUGAAACUGGAAAACUAGAAUCUUGGGAGAGGUCAGUGGAAUUCCGAGUGUAGAGGUGAAAUUCGUAGAUAUUCGGAAGAACACCAGUGGCGAAGGCGACUGACUGGACAAGUAUUGACGCUGAGGUGCGAAAGCGUGGGGAGCAAACAGGAUUAGAUACCCCUGGUAGUCCACGCCGUAAACGAUGAUAACUAGCUGUCCGGGCUCAUAGAGCUUGGGUGGCGCAGCUAACGCAUUAAGUUAUCCGCCUGGGGAGUACGGUCGCAAGAUUAAAACUCAAAGGAAUUGACGGGGGUCAUAGCUGUUUUCCU